RNAcentral lists this long non-coding RNA (343 nucleotides) under Rattus norvegicus (Norway rat). RNAcentral's name for it is "long non-coding RNA NONRATT033783". Lineage: Eukaryota; Metazoa; Chordata; Mammalia; Rodentia; Muridae. The record is from RNAcentral.
CUCCGUCACUCCCUCCCCUGCCCCAUCUCUUUCCUUAGUUCUUACAGUCCUAGUCGUGGCUCACUAGCCUGACCCUGCCUGAAGAGAUAGGAAAGGAACUGUGCUCCACGUAAAUGAACCUGCCUCACCCUCAAAAUAAUCCAGAGCCUGGAUCAUCCCACAUGGACGCUACUGGACCGGUGGCCUGCAAGAUAGAACCAAGAAACUUUCUUCCCAACUGUUAUAAAAAAGAACAGAACAGAAGAGAACAAAACACAGCAAUCCUUAGAUUCUCUCCCAGCCCACUUCCCCUCUGGAAACCCAUUUACUGUCUCCUUCUAGUGUAUUUCAAUAAAUUCUCCUG